GGAUCAUAGCACUUGUAACCUUUCUAAAAGCCGAGAGUAGCCUAAAAAGACACACUUAAUUGAUUUAGGUUGGAGUUUGUCUUUUUCAGGAGUAUGAUUAUGAACAAAAUAAAUGCAACCAAAUACACGUAAUGGCAAAUGAUAAGGAUUUUCUUUUGGAAAUAGAAUUGAAUGAGGACUUGGGUGCUGCAAGAUAGAAGAAGGCAUUCUGUUAAUCAAACAUCAUGUUGUUAGAAUGGCAUCCUCCUAGAAACAAAGAGGAACAUUAUGGUGUAUUAAUAAGGUAUGAGAAAAAGCUAGGCACAUGUAAGACAGA
Molecule: unclassified non-coding RNA, 316 nt
Filed under: Hevea brasiliensis (rubber tree)
Lineage: Eukaryota; Viridiplantae; Streptophyta; Magnoliopsida; Malpighiales; Euphorbiaceae
Source: RNAcentral